UACGGAGGGUGCAAGCGUUAAUCGGAAUUACUGGGCGUAAAGCGCACGCAGGCGGUCUGUCAAGUCGGAUGUGAAAUCCCCGGGCUCAACCUGGGAACUGCAUUCGAAACUGGCAGGCUGGAGUCUUGUAGAGGGGGGUAGAAUUCCAGGUGUAGCGGUGAAAUGCGUAGAGAUCUGGAGGAAUACCGGUGGCGAAGGCGGCCCCCUGGACAAAGACUGACGCUCAGGUGCGAAAGCGUGGGAGCAAACAGG
This 252-nucleotide ribosomal RNA is filed under the name uncultured bacterium. RNAcentral describes it as "partial 16S ribosomal RNA". It matches the Rfam family "Bacterial small subunit ribosomal RNA", at positions 524 to 776 of the family's 1533-position model. The record is from RNAcentral.